GUGCUCACUUCAGCAGCACAUAUACUAAAAUUAGAACAAUACAGAGAAGAUUAGUAUGACCCCUGCACAAGGAAGCAAAGAAAAACAAGGAAUUCAUUCACUACUUC
Small nuclear RNA from Gavia stellata (red-throated loon), 107 nucleotides. The record is from Rfam. Lineage: Eukaryota; Metazoa; Chordata; Aves; Gaviiformes; Gaviidae.